AAAACUUUCAACAACGGAUCUCUUGGUUCUGGCAUCGAUGAAGAACGCAGCGAAAUGCGAUAAGUAAUGUGAAUUGCAGAAUUUAGUGAAUCAUCGAAUCUUUGAACGCACAUUGCGCCCCUCGGUAUUCCGGGGGGCAUGCCUGUUCGAGCGUCAUUA
This 159-nucleotide ribosomal RNA is filed under the name Cladonia farinacea. RNAcentral's name for it is "5.8S ribosomal RNA". It matches the Rfam family "5.8S ribosomal RNA". From Rfam's summary of the family: 5.8S ribosomal RNA (5.8S rRNA) is a component of the large subunit of the eukaryotic ribosome. It is transcribed by RNA polymerase I as part of the 45S precursor that also contains 18S and 28S rRNA. Functionally, it is thought that 5.8S rRNA may be involved in ribosome translocation. Lineage: Eukaryota; Fungi; Ascomycota; Lecanoromycetes; Lecanorales; Cladoniaceae. The record is from RNAcentral. RNAcentral also lists the same sequence under 5 other names.